Molecule: long non-coding RNA, 1172 nt
Organism: Poecilia latipinna (sailfin molly)
Lineage: Eukaryota; Metazoa; Chordata; Actinopteri; Cyprinodontiformes; Poeciliidae
Exons: 2
Source: RefSeq, a predicted model, not a curated record
GGAGUGUCGUUUACUUUCGUUGGUGCUGAAUGGCUGAACAAAAAAAGUACAGAAAUGGAAGACUGUAGGCGUUAGCUCCCACUGUAGAUCCAAGAUGGCUUCCACUGUGUUCAUUAAUGCAGUAUAUUCUGUGUUUGGACGAUUAAUAUAUGGAGUUCUAAGUGUUUUUGGAGAGGAUCCCAAGUUUAUGAGCUAUUCACAGUUCACACCCCACUGUCAAGUUUCAUAACUUCCUGUAGCCACUAACAUUAGCAUUAGCAUUAACUCGUAGGUAAACGGAAACCAGCGGGGAUGCCAUAUUUUCAGGAGUUUCUGUCUCCUGCCUGUUCUGUUGUUGAUUUUAAACUGUUGUGUAUGCAGUCCAUGUUUCUAUCUGUUUAUAUGUAUUGUAUGUGCAUUUAUUGACCGUUUGGGCAGCAGCUACUAUGCAGUACACACCCUCAAGUCCAUGACAAGUGGAAUCCUUUCUAAAGUCAUAACGAAAGAAGAAUAAAGAUAAAAAAAGAUACACAAGUUAGAAAGCUUCAAAGUGCAAACCAGAACCCUUCUUGCAGGAAAAUACAAUAGAUAUUAUCAGUGGAGUAAAAUGAAAGUGCACAAAUCCUAUCAUUGCUUGUAGUUCAACACAAGUAAAUAAAAUCUUUUUCCAUGCUGCUGUUAUUUGAAAACAUACAUCCAAGUCAGGAGAAAUCAUGUUACAUCAAAAACACUUUGUCGACUGGCAGCUCAGAAUAUAUUACAUCUGGUUGCUUCUUCCUCUUUGCCAGAGGCAGAAGGGCUUCUGUCGGUGUAAAAGGAUUCGUAUUUCAGCCCUCCAGACUGCUGCAACAAAAGUAAUGAUAUCAGACUCGGUCGAACCACUGAAGGCAUUCACGACGCCGUUAUAAGGCUCCGUUCCUGAAGGACCCCCAGAUGUAGACUAUGCAUAUCUUGACAACUGUGUUACUGUGCCAGUGCUUUUUAUAGGCUCUCACCUCGACUGGCUGCCAGAUUGACGUCUUCUUCUCGUGACAUUGUGAGAAAAAAACCCAAAAAAUAAACGAAGGCUUUGAUUGGCCUGUGAGCUCUGGAGUGCCAUGAAGCGGCUUUUGAGCUACAAAAAGUCACAGGCAGUCACAGAGGACUGGAACCAUGAUUUAGCAUCUGGAGUGUAAAUGAAAUGCAAAAGGAAA